RNAcentral lists this ribosomal RNA (426 nucleotides) under uncultured bacterium. RNAcentral describes it as "bacterial SSU rRNA". It matches the Rfam family "Bacterial small subunit ribosomal RNA", at positions 30 to 456 of the family's 1533-position model. The record is from RNAcentral.
AUUGAACGCUGGCGGCAUGCCUUACACAUGCAAGUCGAACGGCAGCACGGGAGCUUGCUCCUGGUGGCGAGUGGCGAACGGGUGAGUAAUACAUCGGAACGUACCCUGAAGUGGGGGAUAACGUAGCGAAAGUUACGCUAAUACCGCAUAUUCUGUGAGCAGGAAAGAGGGGGAUCGCAAGACCUCUUGCUUUAGGAGCGGCCGAUGUCGGAUUAGCUAGUUGGUGAGGUAAAGGCUCACCAAGGCGACGAUCCGUAGCGGGUCUGAGAGGAUGAUCCGCCACACUGGGACUGAGACACGGCCCAGACUCCUACGGGAGGCAGCAGUGGGGAAUUUUGGACAAUGGGCGCAAGCCUGAUCCAGCCAUGCCGCGUGAGUGAAGAAGGCCUCGGUUGUAAGACUCUUCGGUUGGGGAAGGAAAGUUAG